This 247-nucleotide unclassified non-coding RNA is filed under the name Hevea brasiliensis (rubber tree). Lineage: Eukaryota; Viridiplantae; Streptophyta; Magnoliopsida; Malpighiales; Euphorbiaceae. The record is from RNAcentral.
GAUAGAAUCAGAGAAACAAACAUCUCUCCUGAUUUAGUCACUUAUAGAAUAAUGAUCAAGGGAUAUAAGCUGGUCAAAAAUUUUGAUCUAGCUUAUGACAUGACUGAUGAGAUGCACAGAGUGUUUAACAUUCCUCAGAAUGCAUUGUUAGAGUUAAAUAUGGUUAGAGAGGAUUCAUAUAGUCGAUCCCAACUUGUUUGAGAUUAAAGCACUUUCUUGAAAAGUUUGUACAUGUAAUCAUUUUUGU